AUUGCUGCAUCUAGAGUGAACGGCUAGUCCCCUAGUCCCCUGUUUCUUUGGAUAAAUUUUUUGUACAAGUUUCGUGAAAGUUGUGCUGAUUUGAUGCCCUCAACUGUUUGUGGUUAUGUCUCUGAUAACUAACAACAUCUUUUGUCCUAUGCCCAAAUUUUUGUGAGCAACAAAUAUUCAUACAUGUGCAUUAUAUCUGUUCUUGUGGGAAUACGUCUACAACAAGUUCGUUUUUGCACCUCUUUCAGAAAAAAUCAUAUUGUACAAUUCUAGUGUAUCUUCUUGAAGUUCAUAUUGUCAAGACCUCGAAGCUCACAUAAUAUAGUUCAGAAGUUUGGAUGACUCAUGUCUGAUAAUUUUUUUUUUGAUACAUACACGCGAGCCUGUUCAUAUUUGUAUAUUUGUUAUUUUCAUUAUCCGUUAGGAUCUGGUAUUAGUAGUCUAUUUUUUACGAGCAGUCUUGUUCGACAGAUGCUUUAUCUCUACUCCUAAUGGACGAGUUGGUUGAAUAGUUCCCCCACUUUCGUCUGGUUUUUUUUCGACUGGUUUUUUUUCGUCACCUCCCCACCCCACCUCACCCCACCCCACGCACGCACCCCAAGAAAACCACCCCGUAGGAGGAACGCCCUUCCUCUCGAUCCCCUCCCGUCGCCGCCGCCGUCCUCUCUCCGAUCUCUAGCCUCGCACCUUCUCCCAUCCAUCCCCUCGCCUCUCUUUCCCCCGAUCUAGAUGGCACCUCCCACCAUGGCGGGGAGGCGGCUUCGAGCGCCGCCUGAUCUCCUCGACCCAGGGCCUCACGCUCACCAGCGCCCGCCCAAUCGCGCGCGACCUCUCCACUGCAGCGCGCCCCCGCCCUGUCUUGAUGUGCAGCCCACGCCAUGGGUCUCCGCCGACGCCACGAUGGUCGUGGCCUCCUCACCCGCCGACGCCUCCACUCCAGAUCCGAGCCGCCGGUGAGCCGUCAAGGUCGGGGCAUGGUACUAUCCAUCUUCCCGCGUGUAGGGCAGCCGGUGCCCGCGUCCGCGUAUCCCGGCCAUGGGUGUUGUAUUCAUCUCCUACAUGGGGCGACGAGGAAGAUGAGCCCAGCGGCACGUGUGUCUUCCAGCCGCUCUUGUGAGAUCGGGAGGCAAUCAAAAGCAGGAAGGGGAGAUCGAUGCUUGGGGGUGACAUCCAAUGACCCAGGCAUCACCCUCUCCUGACGUCUUACUACAAACCCGCAGCCACUGCCUCCUCGAUCUACGCUAGCCUGCAGCAGCAAGGUCAGCCCCCCACACUCGGCAUUUUUUUCUUUAGGUCUUGGCGCGGGAAACUGAAAAAGAGAUGCUCCAACAAUCACCACAUCCCCCAUACUGAUUCCUGCAAAUAAGCGUUAAAUAAAAGUAUAUCGAGUUUGAUGACGAUGAUGAUUGAAAAGAAGAGGAUGAAGCACUAUUCAGAGGGUAUCCGAGUGUACAUGAUGCCCCUGGGUGGGUGUCGGCGUGAGCUGGUAUGGCCCCGUCGUGGCUAUGUAGAUGGGGAGGCGGGGUGGAGGCUGGGACUGCAUGGGGAAAAAGCAUAAAGAGCAAGACGGUAGUGCUGUACUGUGGCAUGGUCAUGUGUGUAGCCUCAGCACAGCGUUGUACUGUGGCAUGGCUGUGUGUGUGACGUCGGUGCAGCGGCAAAGAGUAGUCUUUGGAGCAGGGCAGCGGCACACACACACAUGAGGGUGGCCCUCGAGGCUUGGGGGUUAAGCAGGAUCCCGUGGAAGUGGAGAGAGAAGCAUCAUGUUCAUGAACUUGAAAAAUGAUUUCGAGUUUGAACAAAGAAAGUUUACCAAAGAAGACAUCAAAGAAAUUAUAUUUAGGGAGAUACUGGAAUACCUCCCUCAACUUCUCAAGGAUUACAUGCACGGAUCUGAAAAUACUUACUAUGUCCUAUGUUUCUACCUUGACAUAUCUUGUAACUUUUUUGCCUCCUAUUUUGCAUAUGUAGCAAUAGUCAUAACUUAUGUCGUUGAAUCAAUAUUUGCCACUACUGACAAUUUGCAUAGGCAAUCUGCUAAGAGGAAGAUGGUGGAAAGAGCGGGCGAGUCGAGAGAAAACAUUUUCUUCUCCCAAGGUGUCGAACUACACUACCAGCAGCAGAGGCUGCACCUUGUCUUUAGCAAAGAUGGAAAGCCUGCUAAUUAAUGAUACAGGGAGAUGAACGAUGUGGAUAUGAAGAAGUAGUGGGUUGUGCUUUUCAGCAGUAAAUGCAUUUAGAGAUUAGAUGGCUUGCUCCAAAGACAAGCAACUAAUCUCGUUGAUGGGAUUGCUGCGCAGAUUCAUGGAUCGUGCUCUUCCGUGGUAAGGAGCCUGUGGCUCUCUCAAGUCUCAACUGAUCAGAAGAUCUUGGUUAGCUGGUUGGUCAGAGGAAGAAAGCAGAACGCAUGAAUGAAAGUGGAGAGGACAAAGAAAGAUGUGUGGAUACUCAUAGUUGAAGUAAAUAAGUAUUAUGGGGAUUCUCAUAGUUGGAGAAUAUAAGUAUUAUGCGGAUUCUCAUGGUUGGAGUUAAUAACGGACACACUGGCGUAUUAGUUGUUUGCCCAACAACGGACAUCAUAUUUUUAUUUCGUGGUAAUGCACGACAUUCAAUUGUAUAUGUUACAACGUGGCAA
Molecule: long non-coding RNA, 2635 nt
Organism: Triticum aestivum (bread wheat)
Lineage: Eukaryota; Viridiplantae; Streptophyta; Magnoliopsida; Poales; Poaceae
Exons: 6
Source: RefSeq, a predicted model, not a curated record